GUGGGAUUUAGUCUCUGACAAGCAAAUGAUGCAAGAAGAGCAACCUCUACAGGUUGCAAGGUGUACUAAAAUUAUCAGCCCAAACACAGAAGAGGCAAAAUAUGUGAUAAAUGUCAAACAAAUCGCCAAGUUUGUCGUUGGCUUAGGCGACAAAGUCUCUCCUACAGAUAUUGAAGAAGGGAUGCGUGUGGGAGUUGAUAGAAACAAAUAUCAAAUUCAGAUACCCCUGCCCCCAAAGAUUGAUCCCAGCGUCACAAUGAUGACUGUAGAAGAGAAGCCUGAUGUCACAUACAAUGAUGUUGGUGGAUGCAAGGAGCAAAUAGAGAAGAUGCGAGAAGUUGUUGAGCUGCCAAUGUUGCAUCCCGAAAAGUUCGUGAAACUCGGCAUUGAUCCUCCUAAAGGAGUCCUGUGUUACGGCCCACCAGGUACCGGUAAGACUUUGUUGGCUAGGGCAGUAGCCAAUAGGACUGACGCAUGUUUCAUCCGGGUCAUCGGAAGCGAACUUGUUCAGAAGUAUGUGGGAGAAGGGGCUCGAAUGGUUCGCGAACUAUUUCAGAUGGCUCGCUCGAAGAAGGCUUGCAUCGUCUUUUUUGAUGAAGUUGAUGCUAUUGGUGGGGCCCGCUUUGAUGAUGGGGUUGGAGGCGACAAUGAAGUCCAACGUACUAUGCUCGAGAUCGUGAACCAACUUGAUGGCUUUGAUGCUAGAGGAAACAUCAAAGUUUUGAUGGCAACCAAUAGACCCGAUACAUUGGACCCUGCCUUACUGCGGCCUGGACGAUUGGAUCGGAAGGUUGAGUUCGGGCUGCCUGAUCUGGAGAGCCGGACACAGAUAUUCAAGAUCCACACCAGGACAAUGAACUGCGAAAGGGACGUGCGCUUCGAACUUCUCGCCCGACUCUGCCCCAAUUCGACCGGAGCGGACAUACGAAGUGUUUGUACCGAAGCGGGCAUGUAUGCUAUUCGGGCGCGCAGGAAGACUGUUACUGAAAAGGAUUUCCUCGAUGCUGUCAACAAGGUCAUCAAGGGAUACCAGAAGUUCAGUGCCACCCCGAAAUAUAUGGUUUACAACUGAAAAUUCUCCCGAGGGAUUGUAAGAGUUGAUGGGAGUUUAUAAACUGCGAGAUUCAUGUGUGCUAUCUUAUGUUUUAUGGGAACCGGAAUUUGGUUAAACAUUCACACAGUUACUGGUUUAGAUGAAUGUGAUCAAUUGGUUUUGUGAAGCA
Molecule: unclassified non-coding RNA, 1223 nt
Filed under: Hevea brasiliensis (rubber tree)
Lineage: Eukaryota; Viridiplantae; Streptophyta; Magnoliopsida; Malpighiales; Euphorbiaceae
Source: RNAcentral